RNAcentral lists this long non-coding RNA (2077 nucleotides) under Pomacea canaliculata. RNAcentral describes it as "uncharacterized LOC112558766". The record is from RNAcentral. Lineage: Eukaryota; Metazoa; Mollusca; Gastropoda; Architaenioglossa; Ampullariidae.
AUCGUCAGUCCUGUGACUUGCACUGAGCUAACGCUAACGCGCCCUGUGAGCUAACGAAGUCGACUCCCUGAACCUCCUUUGUCGGCGAGCCAAGUGAGUAUUAUUUGUUUCUGGUGCUUUUUGUUAUGUAAACAAACAUGGCAUCCAACAGAAUCCUACCUGAGACGAUGUGUCGUCUCAAAAUCCGAUCUCGAGCGAUAUAUCCUGAUGGUGUAACAACACCCAGCCCCAUCCACCUGACGGGAAAUAAUAGUUUCUUUGAACAAGAAACCCCUCCAUGCCACUAUCCUUUUGUCGUUGAUUUACAUCGAGCUAGGCAGAGCACACAGCCUUCUGACAUACUGUCGCUGCGCAAUAACCUAAACAUCCAGUAUCGGGAUGACACUUCUCUUGAGUACAGCGAUGUAGACAUGGCCGCUCACCGACACAGGGGCGGUAGAGAAAACGAUUUCCUUCCUGCUUGGCGAACGUUUGCCCUACGGACAAAUGUGAAUCUGAUGUCUACAGCGCAAGUUGAAGAAGUGUAUUCUGAUUAUGAAAUUCACUUAAGAGGCAGAGAAAAACAUGGUUGAUUCUUUCAGCGUAAAUUCUCCUGGAUAAAAGUACAGUACGAUAAUGGAAUUUAUAGACGUUAUGCCUUAACGGCACUAAACCCACCCAGUCUCCCUAUGAUGAGAGUCACUUACUAAGGAGAGUGGAAUUCAAAAUUUAUAGAAAAAAAACUUUUAGCUAGAUAUUCAUAUUCGUUCACAUAUAAAUGCAACUGUUUGCAUUUAUAUGUAUAUGCGAAAGCCACAAAUACAUAUAGUAACAAAAGGAAAAGUUUUUUUAACUAGCAAGUUAAAACUACUAAGCUUGGUGUCGGUGAGUCAAGGGAACAUUUUUUGAAAGUAACCAAAUAUUUGUCAGCCCUAAAAUUUACUCCUCCGUACACAAACUCCCCAAUCAUCUCCCAAGUCUGAGAAGUCUUGUGUUAUAUCUCUUUACCUCCCACUUUUUUUUGGCACCAGAAUCAUUUAGUACUCACUUGGCUCAGCAGAUGACGGAGGUUCGGGAUCAGCAGGUGUAAGUGUGAGGGCGUUCUCGGUCGCCACCUGUGUUAGUAACUUCCACAAAAGGAAGUGAAACGAACACUCACACACAAAAGCAUCAGUUGGUAAUAUAGGUGUCUUAAGUGUACACCAUGACAUACAUGCCAUCUGUGAGAGUGAUAAAGCAAUAUUGUACUUUAGAAAAUGACAUGAAGAUGAAAAAAAAAAGUCAUCAUCUAAGCAUAUUCUUCAAGUGUGUGAUGAAAGAGCUCUUUACCGAUGAGUGUCACUGAUUCCAGCUGAGGGUUACUAAUGGUCAGACAUCCACCUACAGUUACAGUAAUUCUUCUAGGUGAGAACCAAAGCCUAGACUCCUGUAGUUCUGUAUUCGUCAGCAUCGGUGGGGAAUAAUUGGAUUUUUCUGCCUUCAUCCUUGUGAAUAUGCGUCACCUGCAGGUUCCCAGGCCGGAAGAUCUGACCACCUGCAGCAUGUCACAUCAUAUCAUCACCAGUUUGACGUUUGCUCAGAUAGUGAUACAUGGAACACCAUAUGAAGUAGAGACUUCAGCACCUGAUGAUGGUUCUGCUUUACCAGUGAUGAUUAAUAAUAAUGAUUUAUAUAGUGCUUUUCCAAUGACUUGGUCAGAGCGCUUUACAGAAAUGAUACAGUCCUAACAUUUGUAUUGCCUCAACUAAAUUCCUGUUUGACCUAAGGGGACUAACUGAGAAUUAGUAAAACGUGCAAAUCAAAACAAAUUUGUUGUGUUUGCUUCCUGAAGUUUAUUGAAACUGGAUAGUUCCACAUAUUCCACCAAGCUGAAGGAGGUAUUUCAAAAAGGAUUGUUCUUUAAAGCUUGAAACAAAAUUUGGAAAAAGGCAGGAAGGCUUCACAGAUGAAAACAUACUCAAAAGUUGUCCUGUCCCACAUAUAAGGCCUUUUAGCAACAAAAUUGUUGUGCUUGCUAGAUCCAAUAUGCCAAUAUUACAAAAAAAAAAAUAAAGGAAAGGGCUACAGAAAGCAGAAAAAUUAAAAAUAUUCUUCACUA